Poecilia latipinna (sailfin molly) is the source of this 587-nucleotide non-coding RNA. The record is from the annotation of a RefSeq genome assembly. Lineage: Eukaryota; Metazoa; Chordata; Actinopteri; Cyprinodontiformes; Poeciliidae.
UUGAACACUGGAUGACUGACAGCUGUCCUUCAUCACAGCAGAAGACACAUAAAUCCUCCUCAUCAUCAGAAACAUGACUUUGAUCUGCGUCCUCAUCUGGACUCUCCUCUGCUGCUGCUUCACAGAGGUCAGAGGUCAGAUCACAGUGACUCAGCAGCCUGCAGCAGUGAGAGCUGAUCUGGGAGGACCUGUCAACAUCAACUGUAGAACCAGUCAGGAUGUUUAUUAUUCCAGUGGUUGUUCCUGUUAUCGUUUUGCCUGGUACCAACAGAAAGAUGGACAAACCCCUAAGCUGCUCAUUUAUAAUGUUAACACUCGAGCAUCAGGGACUCCAAGUCGUUUUUCAGCCAGAGGAUCAAACUCUGACUUCACUCUGACCAUCAGUGGAGUUCAGGCUGAAGAUGCUGCAGUUUAUUACUGCCAGAGUCUUCAUUACCCCAACAGCCAGUGGGUGUUCACACAGUGAAAAACAGUCAUACAAAAACCUCCCUCAGUCAGAAUGAACUGAAACUGAACUGCAGCUGCAGAGACUGAUUGUGUUACCUCAAGAAAUAAAAGCCAUGCUAAACUAAAAUAAACACUGUAGG